RNAcentral lists this ribosomal RNA (160 nucleotides) under uncultured bacterium. RNAcentral describes it as "partial 16S ribosomal RNA". It matches the Rfam family "Bacterial small subunit ribosomal RNA", at positions 338 to 514 of the family's 1533-position model. The record is from RNAcentral.
CCUACGGGAGGCAGCAGUGGGGAAUAUUGCACAAUGGGGGAAACCCUGAUGCAGCGACGCCGCGUGGAGGAAGAAGGUCUUCGGAUUGUAAACUCCUGUUGUUGAGGAAGAUAAUGACGGUACUCAACAAGGAAGUGACGGCUAACUACGUGACCAGCAG